This 253-nucleotide ribosomal RNA is filed under the name uncultured bacterium. Its description in RNAcentral is "partial 16S ribosomal RNA". It matches the Rfam family "Bacterial small subunit ribosomal RNA", at positions 524 to 776 of the family's 1533-position model. The record is from RNAcentral.
UACGUAGGGGGCAAGCGUUGUCCGGAUUUAUUGGGCGUAAAGCGCUCGCAGGUGGUUCAUUGCGUCGUGCGUGAAAGACCCCGGCUCAACUGGGGAGGGUCGUGCGAAACGGGUGAACUAGAGGCCAGUAGGGGGAUGCGGAAUUCCGGGUGUAGUGGUGGAAUGCGUAGAGAUCCGGAGGAACACCAGCGGCGAAGGCGGCAUCCUGGACUGGUCCUGACACUCAGGGGCGAAAGCGUGGGGAGCGAUCCGG